RNAcentral lists this ribosomal RNA (500 nucleotides) under uncultured bacterium. RNAcentral's name for it is "partial 16S ribosomal RNA". It matches the Rfam family "Bacterial small subunit ribosomal RNA", at positions 29 to 523 of the family's 1533-position model. The record is from RNAcentral.
AACGAACGCUGGCGGCGUGCUUUACACAUGCAAGUCGAACGGCAGCACGGACUUCGGUCUGGUGGCGAGUGGCGAACGGGUGAGUAAUGUAUCGGAACGUGCCCAGUCGUGGGGGAUAACGUAGUGAAAAUUACGCUAAUACCGCAUACGAUCUAUGGAUGAAAGCGGGGGAUCGCAAGACCUCGCGCGAUUGGAGCGGCCGAUAUCAGAUUAGGUAGUUGGUGGGGUAAAGGCCCACCAAGCCAACGAUCUGUAGCUGGUCUGAGAGGACGACCAGCCACACUGGAACUGAGACACGGUCCAGACUCCUACGGGAGGCAGCAGUGGGGAAUUUUGGACAAUGGGCGAAAGCCUGAUCCAGCCAUUCCGCGUGCAGGAUGAAGGCCCUCGGGUUGUAAACUGCUUUUGUACAGAACGAAAAGGUUUCUACUAAUACUAGGAGCUCAUGACGGUACUGUAAGAAUAAGCACCGGCUAACUACGUGCCAGCCGCCGCAGUAA